AUUUUUCGAGGAAAACUCGUUGGUGAGCUUGGAAUCUGAUUUGGGGUCCCCGUUCGAGGUAAAUUUCACAAAAUACCUGCUGUCACAACCUCCUUUUUGUGAGCUUGAUGUUGGGAUUUUUGAGACUUGUUUUCUCAUCCAUUUUAGGUCCGAUUUCAGCGAUUCUUGAGUCCAUUUUGAGUGGUUUUUCGAGGAGAACAUUGUGGUGUUGUCAGAAUCUACUGUAGACCACCUGUUUCUGGUAAAUAUGCUGAAUUAGCUGCUGUCCCAUUUCUUUACUUUUUGAGGAAAAUUUGGGUUUUGGUUGUAUGUUGGUACUGUGUUGUUUCUGAACCCCGAAUUGUGUCCCAUCAUGGCACACAAAUUUGGGGAGCUGUUAAGAACUUAUUUUUGGGGUUAAUUCCAGAAUUUUCAGCGCGGGUCCAACUUUCCCCGUUUUGACCCCAAAAUUGGUCCGUUCCUAUUUCUUGCGAUUUUAGUGUUUGAAUGACCGUGAUAACGUUGUGACUCUAUUUUUGAUAGCAUGGCAUCGUUUCGAGACCGUUUCGAAAGGGAAAGAUCCAGAGGAGUGAUUUUGGAGCUCGCGUGAUCGACCUACAGGUAGGCGACGGUUUCCUUCUCUUAGAUUGAGCUCGAGAAUGGGAAUGCAUGUUGAUUAGUUGGGAUUUGGGUUGGUAGUUAUUGAAUCACGUUUAGGUGUUUAAAAAUCAUGUUUUCGGCCUAUUUCGAGAAUUAUCGGGUAACUGUGAGCAUGCUUUGUGUUAUUAAUUGACCCUCCUCGCUAUGUGGAGUGCUUGCAUGCUUAAUUACUGUUUAUUUGAAGCAUGUUGGGCCUUAGUUUAGGUUUGACUAGGGCUUGCCUUAUAAAUACAUGAUUCGAAUCCAAUAGGCCUUAGUUUUGCCCCGACGCCGCUCGGCCAGCUUAGAUCCCUGUAGACUAAUGUAGCUGACUUGAGCCUGAUAGUUUGGGCCUUAACUAGGCAAUACAUUUGCUCCGAUGAUAGUUAUCCUUAUUUCCCCGAUGUUACAGCUUCAAGAGUUAUGUUGGCGACACUAGUUCUGCUUCGCGAUUUGAAUUUGAUUUUCGAUUCGAUUCCAAGGACUUACAUUGAUUGGCUAGGUGUGGAUGGCGAUCCAUGGACAUUUAUGAGAAUAGAUCGAUUGGGACUCUUUCAGCAGCUACAUUGGCAUCUUUAUAGAGCAUCCGAUUAGAGUUUCGGCCUCUAUUGCCCAGAUACUUAUAUAGAGCAUCAGGUUAGAGUUCUGGCCUCUAUCACCCAGAUACUUAUAUAGAGCAUCCGGUUUAAGGUCCGGGCUCUAGUGCUCAUCAUGGAACACAAGUUCGGGGAGCUGUUAAGAACUUAUUUUUGGGGUUAAUUCUGGAAUUUUCAGCGCGGGUCCGACUUUCCCCGUUUUGACCCCGAAAUUGGUCCAUUCCCAUUUCCUGCGAUUUUAGUGUCUGAACGACUGUGAUAACAUUGUGACUCUAUUUUUGAUAGCGUGGUAGCGUUUCGAGACCGUUCGAAAAGGGAAAGAUCCAGAGAAGUGAUUUUGGAGCUCGCGUGAUCGGCCUACAGGUAGGCUAUGGUUUCCCUCUCUUAGAUUGAACUCGAGUAUGUGAAUGCAUGUUGAUUAGUUGGGAUUUGGGUUGGGUAGUUAUUGAAUCACGUUUAGGUGUUUAAAAAUCAUGUUUUCGGCCUAUUUCGAGAAUUAUUGGGUAACUGUGAGCAUGCUUUGUGUUAUUAAUUGACCCUAUUCGCUAUGUGGAUUGCUUGCAUCCUUAAUUACUGUUUAUUUGAAGCAUGUUGGGCCUUUGUUUAGGUUUGACUAGGGCUUGCCUUAGAAAUACAUGAUUCAGAUCCAAUAGGCCUUAG
RNAcentral lists this long non-coding RNA (1874 nucleotides) under Solanum tuberosum (potato). RNAcentral describes it as "long non-coding RNA (STUB_LNC002627)". Lineage: Eukaryota; Viridiplantae; Streptophyta; Magnoliopsida; Solanales; Solanaceae. The record is from RNAcentral.